Molecule: signal recognition particle RNA, 148 nt
Filed under: Homo sapiens (human)
Lineage: Eukaryota; Metazoa; Chordata; Mammalia; Primates; Hominidae
Description: Metazoan signal recognition particle RNA
Rfam family: Metazoan signal recognition particle RNA
About the family: The signal recognition particle (SRP) is a universally conserved ribonucleoprotein.
Source: Rfam by way of RNAcentral
ACUGGGCAUGGUGGCUUGUGCCUGUAGUCCCAGCUACUGGGGAGGCUGAGGUGGGAGGAUCACUUGAGCCCAGGAGUUUGAAGCUGCAGUGAGCAAUGAUUGUGCCACUGCACUCCAGCCUGGGCCACAUAGUGAGACCUUACCUCUU